CAUUAUUUCGGGCUUGCUGUUUAAGCUCGUCUCAUAAAGCUAACGGGUUUAUGGAGUUAUUAAAGUGUGCAGACAUGAAUCGUGAUAUUUUGGUGUUACUUUCAGCAAUAAACAUUUGGAUUUAUUUCGGUUUAUUAUGGGCUUAUUCUUGUUCGCUGAUUUUUCUAGCAAGAUCUGGCAACUCGAAUGAGUCAGGGCUAGUGAUUUCUCUGUGAUUCACCGCGCAUACAGAAGAGAGACACAUAGUUGUUAAGUUCGGUUCCGUACACACUGCGUGGAAUUUCUGUAAAUGCGGUUGUCACUCCCGUAUUUUUCGGGAGUUAAUUCGGUUGUAGAAUGCGGUUGUCACUCCCGUAUUUUACUGAACUGUUUGUGUACAGCACGCGAUUAAGCACUAAAAGGUGAACUGACAACCGAAUUUAGCUGCAGUGUGUACGUGAAGUAUAUAAAUCGAGAUCUCGACCGAUUUCGUGACUGAAUGAUUCAAUUGUGAAUUCGGCUGAUCUAGCAGAUUAAACUUGCAGUAGCAAACAACUCAUUCAGUGAUACGGACAUAGUGAGUUAAGUUAACAAAAAACACCUGAAUCUUAUUUGUGUGGCAUUAGAUACCUCUCUUUUACAGUUUUUUUUUUUUUACUCUUUUACAAUUUAUUUAUUUAUUUUUUCAUUACAACCAAAGAUUUUUAUCAGUGAUUGUAUAUCAGGAGCAGGGAUACGUUUAUAUGCGUUUUGUUUUGUGAUUUCACCGGAACGACAGAUUGAAGCGCUAGUCCGUGUAAAGACUGCGCAGUGUGCACGAGCGCCAACACUGUUGCGCUACUGAUAACAGCGCCAGCGGCAACGAGCACUCAACAUGAUUUCAGAAAAAACACAUCCCAGCGAUAGAUCGCCUAUUUUGUAACACAAACGAACGAAUUGUUAAUCAACUAGAGACGUUUCUUUCGCAUUAGAUGUAUCCGUGCCGCAAAAUGUUUCAAAAAGUGGUGGGGACAUGUCCCACCCGUCCCACCCGCAAAUUACGCCUAUGAACGGGAUUGAUGACAACCACUCAAAAUAGAAAAUUGUAACACUGGAUGAUAAAAAAAAAAAAAAAAAAGCUUACACUAUUUAAUUAUUUAAUGGACACUUCUCACAUUUCUGAGGAUCUCAGACACUAUAGAAUUUUAGUUGGGUAAACGCAUAAAAGUGAACAGGAGUAGGCUAUAGCUGUAUAAUGUAGAUAAUAUAGUGGUGAACUGCAAUAUGACUUUGCGUUCACUUUGCUCCAAUAGCUAGCCUACAUCUCCAAUUUUGUAAAAAAAAAAAAAAAAAAAGGAGAAAUAAUGGCAUUAACACAAAACAGAGUAAAAUAUAAAAAUAUAUAAACAUUAUGAUAGAUUUAUAAUGCCAGUAACCAUGGAAAUGCAUCAUUAUAGUUUGUAAAAUAUGUGUUUUAUCUCUUUAACAUCACAAGAAUGCAAUCACUAGUAAACAGACUUCCUGUUAAUAAAGUAUAAGGUAAGGAUCUAUUUAUAUAUAUAUAUAUAUAUACACACACACACACACACACACAGGGCUUGACAUGAACACCCGCCACGCCAACCCGCCGGGUAUUCAGCUGUGGCGGGUAAGACAGCCAAUCCCACUAGCCACUUUGGCUUGUUGAAUAUAAUUUCAGCCUACAGCCAAAUGAAAGGUAGCCAAGCUCGUCGUAUCACAAAACUGCAAUUCAAUUACAAUUCUUUAUCAAUUAACUUGCUGUUAGUGAAGGCGGGAUAGGCGGAAUCGCCGAAUGACACAACACAACAGAAGCGCGCUCUCUCUCUCUCUCUGUCGCGCGCGCGAUCAGUUCUCCUUGCACCUGAAUAGUCAAAUACACGCACACACAGAUGUCAAAAUGCCCAUCGUGUGGAGUAGGCUAUCGCGUGAAUACAGUCGGUUAUGGCUUAAGUGGACGUAAACAGGUGCACAGUAAAAAACGUUGGGAUAUUUUAUUAACCCAACCGUUGGGUUACACAUAUUGGGUCACCAUGUUGGGUUAUUUACCAAAAAUGUUGGGUUAUUUUUAACAUCGUUGGGUUAUUUUUAUUAAUAACCCAUCUGUUGGGUUAAAUACGGAUCCUGUGACGACGGUUCAAAUUUUAACGGUCCAGUGACAGUCAACAGAAAGAAGCUGCUGCAACCUGAUAUUAUGAAGGUAAGUCAUGUCGUUUUCGUGUAUAUAACUUUUAUAACAUUAGGUAUUGUGUACUGAAACAUAACAUAUAUUCUAAAACUGAAUUUUAUAUUUUUAAGUCGUAAUUUUCUAGUCAGUUUUAAUGUUCUCCGGUAAGUGAGAUCGACUGGAAAUGAUUAACGUUAGCUAUCCCAGUCAGCUCGCUAGCAGUGAUAAAGUAAACAUACAAGCGAAACUGCUUAGAGAUGUAUUACCAUACAAUGGUAACUAAUAAUAUUGUCUUGUGAAAUAUAUAUCGCUAAACUAAGGAAGGCUAGGUCUCAGCAAUCACUAUCCAACAUUACGCAUGUUUUACGGUCUUUGUGAUAAUCUUUCAUAAUAUGACAGCUAAAUUUGAGCUUCAAGCUUGUACUUUUUUUUUGUACAGGUGUGAUUAGAAAUGCGGAACGAAAGAGCACUUCUUAUUUGAGCCGUGGCGCACGGACCGUUUAUCAGCUCGGCCUACAAAGCACGAGCUCGGUCCUCGAUUCUCGGUCAUGCGGCACCACAACAGAGCUGUUUUAAUUAUUAUUCAAUCGUUCCCAAAAGCUUUUACGCAAAAAAAAAAAAAAAAAAAAACUGGAGAAACGUUGUGCAACCAAUGAACGAUUAGUUUAUGAGUAGUUAACGACAGUUACAGUGUGUUUUUAUCGAUAAAUAACCUAGAUUUACUGUUUAUUAGGUUUACUGUAGUAACACUAACUGCAAAUCUUGUAUUUGCAGAAAUGUGGUAUAUUCGUAAUGCAUGUUAUAUAUAGUAAUGCAUGUAAAUAUAUUAUAGGAGUAUCUGAAGCAUCUUUAUACUGUUGUUUCUUAUGAAGCUAUGUCAGUUUUUGCAUUUUUGUUGUACUAAAUGUGUUUAUACUUGUGAUUUAGACAAAUGGAAUAAUCUGUGAAGCAAAGACUACAACAACCUGCUAUUUAAUGGAAACAUUUGAAGAGCAAGGAGUGGAUGAAAGUUUUAUGCUGCUGGAUGACAGUGGUUCUCAACUGUGGUCCUAGAGUAUCCCCAGCAAUACACAUUUUGGAUGACUUCCUUAUCUGACACCCUUUUCCGGCCUUGGAGUCUCUCUGCUAACAAGCUGGUAAGUUGAAACAGGAUUAGAGAGACAAAAUGUGCAGUGCUAGGGCUACUACAGAGCCAGGAUGUUUGGGAAACACUAGGGUACAGUUUAUUACUCUUGUUUUUUUUUUUUCUUUCUCAGUUGUCUUUAUUCGUUUUAAUACAUUAUGUUUUAAUUUAAACAGAAUCCAAGUUGUUUGAUGACUGACAACGAUUUAGUAUCAAAAAAAUGCAAGAAGUCCUCACAGCCAAGCUAAUGUGUAAAUUAGACAUACAACACCUCAACAAACUGCAUGGAUUUGAUCCUUUGGAACAAAAACUGGAAUGGUGAGUUUAAUGAUGUUCAGAAUAGUGAAGGGUUGUUUUAUUUUGGGAAAAAAUGUAUUGGCCAUGUCUAAGUGCAUGUAAAAUUUGUCCACACACACGUGGUAUUAAUUAAAGUUUUUAAACUUGUCUUUCAAAGAUGGUCAUGGAGAAACUGCCUUCAAAACCCUUCCCCCUGUCCUGCCAUCAUCGCCAUGCCUCACAAAUGGGAAAAUGGUGCUGAAAUGAAGCACAGCUUAACUGACAUUCAGCCUGUUGGCACUAAUAUGGCGCAUUACCUGAGCAGUGAGACAAGCCGGGAUCCACAUGACUUGAUGCCUUGAGGACAAAGAGAACUCCCAAGUUUUUUUUUUUAGGUUUUUUUUUUUUUAAUAACAUUAUUUUUUCAUUGUGGCAUUGAACAGAAGAUCUUAUUUUAAGCUAUGCAUGUAUAUUUCAAUUUUUUUUUUUUUUUUUUUUUUUUUUUUAA
This is a long non-coding RNA of Ctenopharyngodon idella (grass carp), 4050 nucleotides long. RefSeq lists it as uncharacterized. The record is from RefSeq and is a predicted model, not a curated record. The transcript is spliced from 3 exons. Lineage: Eukaryota; Metazoa; Chordata; Actinopteri; Cypriniformes; Xenocyprididae.